Molecule: ribosomal RNA, 253 nt
Filed under: uncultured bacterium
Lineage: Bacteria
Description: partial 16S ribosomal RNA
Rfam family: Bacterial small subunit ribosomal RNA
Source: RNAcentral
UACGUAGGGGGCUAGCGUUGUCCGGAAUCAUUGGGCGUAAAGAGCGUGUAGGCGGCCCGGUAAGUCCGCUGUGAAAGUCGGGGGCUCAACCCUCGAAUGCCGGUGGAUACUGUCGGGCUAGAGUGCGGAAGAGGCGAGUGGAAUUCCUGGUGUAGCGGUGAAAUGCGCAGAUAUCAGGAGGAAGACCAGUGGCGAAGGCGGGUCUCUGGACAGUUCCUGACGCUGAGGCACGAAGGCCAGGGGAGCAAACGGG